GGGCGUCGCCAAGUGGUAAGGCAACGGACUUUGACUCCGUUAUUCGUAGGUUCGAAUCCUCCCGCCCCAGCU
Molecule: transfer RNA, 72 nt
Filed under: Nannochloropsis oceanica
Lineage: Eukaryota; Eustigmatophyceae; Eustigmatales; Monodopsidaceae
Description: tRNA-Gln
Rfam family: tRNA
About the family: Transfer RNA (tRNA) molecules are approximately 80 nucleotides in length. Their secondary structure includes four short double-helical elements and three loops (D, anti-codon, and T loops). Further hydrogen bonds mediate the characteristic L-shaped molecular structure. tRNAs have two regions of fundamental functional importance: the anti-codon, which is responsible for specific mRNA codon recognition, and the 3' end, to which the tRNAs corresponding amino acid is attached (by aminoacyl-tRNA synthetases). tRNAs cope with the degeneracy of the genetic code in two manners: having more than one tRNA (with a specific anti-codon) for a particular amino acid; and 'wobble' base-pairing, i.e. permitting non-standard base-pairing at the 3rd anti-codon position.
Source: RNAcentral